This 539-nucleotide long non-coding RNA is filed under the name Nicotiana benthamiana. RNAcentral describes it as "long non-coding RNA (NBEN_LNC029241)". Lineage: Eukaryota; Viridiplantae; Streptophyta; Magnoliopsida; Solanales; Solanaceae. The record is from RNAcentral.
GCCUUUCUAGGGUUAAUUUGGGCGGCAUUCUUGAAGGGGUUUUUCAUUCAAAAUGAACGUUUUAAAAUUUGAUCGUUGAUCUUUCUUGGACGGAUUUUGCAGACAUCACGUGAUUUGCGGCAAAAUAGCAUGACUUGUUCUAGUCCUUACCCGAAUUGGCGAGGUUGUGGUCUGCUUUAAUUUGAUUUCGAAGUUUUCAAGCACAAACAAAAAAGAGGAAAAGGAAUAUCCCUUGGAAUAUUUAGAUACGUAAUGGGAGUAGAGAGACCUUUUUGCACAAAAAUGGUGCGUCAUUCCUCUGCUUGAAAGAUAUAAGAGUUUGGAAGUUUCCUGAAAAAGGAGAAGGGAGUGGGGCGUCUGUUUUGAAGGAGAUAGAGAGAAGUUAGGAGAUUUAGGUUAUGGAAAAGUUGGGCUGCUGGAUCUGUUAUUGGGCUAUUAAAGUGAUGGCUGUUGAAAGGUGGUGAUGUAAAGGCUUUGCUUGGGCCGAAAACUAUAGCAUUUUCCUUCUUCCAAUUAAUUAAAUUUUGCUGUCAUAUUUU